RNAcentral lists this ribosomal RNA (180 nucleotides) under uncultured Glomeromycotina. RNAcentral's name for it is "partial small subunit ribosomal RNA". The stretch from base 24 to 180 matches the Rfam family "Eukaryotic small subunit ribosomal RNA", at positions 669 to 828 of the family's 1831-position model. The record is from RNAcentral. Lineage: Eukaryota; Fungi; Glomeromycota.
GGAUCAAUAUUUCGGUCAUGCCGUUGGUAUGCACUGUUAUCAUUGAUUUCUCACCUUCUAAAGAACCGUAAUGCCAUUAAUUUGGUGUUACGGGGAAUUAGGACUGUUACCUUGAAAAAAUUAGAGUGUUUAAAGCAGGCGUUUGCUUGAAUACAUUAGCAUGGAAUAAUGGAAUAGGGC